CAAUGAAAGAAGCAUAGUAAUGCGCACAUAAAUUAAAUUGGGUCUCUAGGCCUGCCCUCUCUGAUGUCAUUUGACUUUGAUUUGGAGGCGUAGUUUCGCAACAAAACA
Rhododendron vialii is the source of this 108-nucleotide small nucleolar RNA. RefSeq annotates it as small nucleolar RNA snoR100. The record is from RefSeq and is a predicted model, not a curated record. The transcript has a single exon. Lineage: Eukaryota; Viridiplantae; Streptophyta; Magnoliopsida; Ericales; Ericaceae.